GUGAGUCGACGUGGCUGAAGAAAGAGAGAGAUGGAGGCGCGGAGGGCUUCCGGCGGACGCGGCGAAAACGCCGGAUGUGAGAGUGGGUUCACGGUGAAACAGAGGUGGGUUGUGGCGGUGAGCGGCGGAAGGAGGUGUGAAAAGGAGGAAACGGCGGUUUCGUGAUUUGUUUCACAGUGGUUACGGGUUGUUUCUAGGAAGAUGAACAGUGGUUCAUAUUUAAUCUUUUUUAUUUUUUU
This 239-nucleotide long non-coding RNA is filed under the name Lathyrus oleraceus (garden pea). RNAcentral's name for it is "Pisum sativum (pea) long non-coding RNA (PSAT_LNC009931)". The record is from RNAcentral. Lineage: Eukaryota; Viridiplantae; Streptophyta; Magnoliopsida; Fabales; Fabaceae.